GAUGAACGCUGGCGGCGUGCCUAAUACAUGCAAGUCGAGCGAACAGACGAGGAGCUUGCUCCUCUGACGUUAGCGGCGGACGGGUGAGUAACACGUGGAUAACCUACCUAUAAGCCUGGGAUAACUUCGGGAAACCGGAGCUAAUACCGGAUAAUAUAUUGAACCGCAUGGUUCAAUAGUGAAAGACGGUUUUGCUGUCCCUUAUAGAUGGAUCCGCGCCGCAUUAGCUAGUUGGUAAGGUAACGGCUUACCAAGGCAACGAUGCGUAGCCGACCUGAGAGGGUGAUCGGCCACACUGGAACUGAGACACGGUCCAGACUCCUACGGGAGGCAGCAGUAGGGAAUCUUCCGCAAUGGGCGAAAGCCUGACGGAGCAACGCCGCGUGAGUGAUGAAGGUCUUCGGAUCGUAAAACUCUGUUAUUAGGGAAGAACAAAUGUGUAAGUAACUAUGCACGUCUUGACGGUACCUAAUCAGAAAGUCACGGCUAACUACGUG
RNAcentral lists this ribosomal RNA (497 nucleotides) under uncultured bacterium. RNAcentral's name for it is "partial 16S ribosomal RNA". It matches the Rfam family "Bacterial small subunit ribosomal RNA", at positions 28 to 507 of the family's 1533-position model. The record is from RNAcentral.